GACGAACGCUGGCGGCGUGCUUAACACAUGCAAGUCGAACGGAAAGGCCCUGCUUUUGUGGGGUGCUCGAGUGGCGAACGGGUGAGUAACACGUGAGUAACCUGCCCUUGACUUUGGGAUAACUUCAGGAAACUGGGGCUAAUACCGGAUAGGAGCUCCUGCUGCAUGGUGGGGGUUGGAAAGUUUCGGCGGUUGGGGAUGGACUCGCGGCUUAUCAGCUUGUUGGUGGGGUAGUGGCUUACCAAGGCUUUGACGGGUAGCCGGCCUGAGAGGGUGACCGGCCAAAUUGGGACUGAGAUACGGCCCAGACUCCUACGGGAGGCAGCAGUGGGGAAUAUUGCACAAUGGGCGGAAGCCUGAUGCAGCAGCGCCGCGUGCGGGAUGACGGCCUUCGGGUUGUAAACCGCUUUCGCCUGUGACGAAGCGUGAGUGACGGUAAUGGGUAAAGAAGCACCGGCUAACUACGUG
RNAcentral lists this ribosomal RNA (468 nucleotides) under uncultured bacterium. Its description in RNAcentral is "partial 16S ribosomal RNA". It matches the Rfam family "Bacterial small subunit ribosomal RNA", at positions 28 to 507 of the family's 1533-position model. The record is from RNAcentral.